GCUUACGGCCAUACCACCCUGAACACGCCUGAUCUUGUCUGAUCUCGGAAGCUAAGCAGGGUCGGGCCUGGUCAGUACUUGGACGGGAGACCGCCUGGGAAUACCAGGUGCUGUAAGCU
Ribosomal RNA from Oreochromis aureus, 119 nucleotides. NCBI's taxonomy places the organism in Eukaryota, Metazoa, Chordata, Actinopteri, Cichliformes, Cichlidae. The record is from Ensembl.